AUUGAACGCUGGCGGCAGGCCUAACACAUGCAAGUCGAGCGGAUGAAGGGAGCUUGCUCCUGGAUUCAGCGGCGGACGGGUGAGUAAUGCCUAGGAAUCUGCCUGGUAGUGGGGGAUAACGUCCGGAAACGGGCGCUAAUACCGCAUACGUCCUGAGGGAGAAAGUGGGGGAUCUUCGGACCUCACGCUAUCAGAUGAGCCUAGGUCGGAUUAGCUAGUUGGUGGGGUAAAGGCCUACCAAGGCGACGAUCCGUAACUGGUCUGAGAGGAUGAUCAGUCACACUGGAACUGAGACACGGUCCAGACUCCUACGGGAGGCAGCAGUGGGGAAUAUUGGACAAUGGGCGAAAGCCUGAUCCAGCCAUGCCGCGUGUGUGAAGAAGGUCUUCGGAUUGUAAAGCACUUUAAGUUGGGAGGAAGAGCAGUAAGUUAAUACCUUGCUGUUUUGACGUUACCAAAAGAAUAAGCAACGGCUAACUUCGUG
RNAcentral lists this ribosomal RNA (484 nucleotides) under uncultured bacterium. RNAcentral describes it as "partial 16S ribosomal RNA". It matches the Rfam family "Bacterial small subunit ribosomal RNA", at positions 30 to 507 of the family's 1533-position model. The record is from RNAcentral.